Long non-coding RNA from Mytilus californianus (California mussel), 661 nucleotides. RefSeq lists it as uncharacterized. The transcript is spliced from 3 exons. Lineage: Eukaryota; Metazoa; Mollusca; Bivalvia; Mytilida; Mytilidae. The record is from RefSeq and is a predicted model, not a curated record.
UGAAGUUUGAGAGCAGAAGGAUCUUAUCUAAGUAUUUCUAAUGAUGAUCUUUGUUUGCAGUAAGUAAGAGUUGCGGUUCUUACCUCUGAUUUAAACAUAUCCCACAGUGUUUUUAAAUUUUUGGUCUGAUAUUUUGACAGUAGGCUGUAAUUGUUGGACUAUAUACAUGGUGUAGGAAUUUACAGUAAAUUUAGAAACAAUCGAAAUGUUUAUAGUUUGCAGAAACGGUACUUGUAUAUUUCUAUGGAGGAACAUUUUGGCAAAUAAUAUGUGGCUUGCAGAGGAUAGAAGGAUGGUUUUUACCAUAUGGAUUAAAUAGGACUUUUGAAGUAUUCCUAAUAUGUGGAUUAAAUAAGAUAUCCAAAUGCCUUUUACGUUAAAUGAAAAAGGGCAGUGUAAUAAUUCUAAUAUAUGUGGAUUGAGAUUGAUGGAUAAUUUGUUAUAAAGCAAGCAUAUAUUCAGAAAAAUUUAUUUUGGAUAUAUGUGGAUUAAUGAAUUGGUAUUCAUCAAGGAUAUAUUCUUUUUAUCUUUAUUUCUACUUCGAGCGGCCAGUGUGUUUUUUUAAACAGUUUAACUUAAAGUAUAUGUAUAAUUAUUAUGUUUAUUGUAUUAUGAUUCUUUAUAUGAGUAAUAUGCAUCAUAAUAAAUUUUAUUACCAAUA